Molecule: non-coding RNA, 1961 nt
Organism: Chelonia mydas (Green sea turtle)
Lineage: Eukaryota; Metazoa; Chordata; Testudines; Cheloniidae
Source: the annotation of a RefSeq genome assembly
GUAGAGAGUAUUAGCAUACAGAUAUAGUAGCCACUUCACAAGACUCAAUUCAUGUAACAGAGGGAAAGUAUCACACUGAAGAAGGAAGCGAUAUUCCACUACUUCACAUCUGGGAAACUCAGCGAGAGCAAGAUCAUGGGAAGUGCUUAAUAUCUUCAGAACGGUUUGAAUGCUCUACUGGCCAGAUGCCCCGAUUUAAUAGGGACAGUCCUGAUACUCGGGGCUUUGUCUUAUAUACGGGACUAUUACCCCUCACCUGUCCUGAUUUUUCACACUUGCUAUCUGGUCCCCCUUACUGGCAACAGCACCACUCAACACAGCACCUCCCAUCUUCAACAGGGAAAGAAAAUAACCCCCAAGACAAUUAGUCUUCACUGUGCCAUCAACAUGGCUCUACCUAUCCCUUCAACUUUGUAUUAGUUACAGUCAUAGCUAGGAACCCCAAUAACAGAUGUGGUCCACAGGGCACUGUACAAACAAGUAAAAAGACUGCAUCCCUGACCACAAACAUCUUGGUACACACACACACACACCCCUAAACCAUUAGCCUCUUCUCCUUCAAAUCCCUCUCAAGAUCCACUCCUGCUGCAACUCCUACAAGAACUCUGCCAGGAAAUGACGACUCUGGCUGAGGAGGGAAGAGGGAAAUGCUAUAUUUAAACAUUACGUACCAAACUAUCUGCUGGUACAAAUGGUUGAAACCUCAUUUAAAAAACAAAAACAAACCAAUGGAGCUGUGCCAGUUGAUACCAGCAGAGAAACUGGCUUUAAACGUUGCACAUAUAGUGUAUAUGUUAGUGUUUCUUUUCCCCAAAACCAGUGAGAGUGUCUGCACUGCAGCUGGCAGACACUCCCACCUCUGGGUAGACGGACUUGUCCUACUGGGGCUUGAGCCAGUGUGCUAAAAAUACCAGCAUGGAUGUUAUGACUCCACUGGAGACUCAGGCUAGCCCCCGAGCUCAGACCAAACCCUGCUAUUUUUAGUGUGCGAGAUCGAGCCCCACUACCACUCCCAGCUGCAGUGUAGACAUACCCUUUUAGACUGAAGAUCUUUGGGACAGUCACUCCAUAUAUUUCUAUGUAUAGUACCUUACACAAUGGGGGCACCAUCCACACAGAGGCCUCUGGGAACCGCUGUGGUAUAAACAAGAAAAGAGAAGAAAAAAAAAAGAUUUCUAUGAUACAAUCUUCACUGGUCUAAAGAUAGCUGAAGAAUUUUCUUCUUCCGAGAUAAUGCUCUCUGAUAAAAGUAAAGUCUGGUGAGUUUAAGCCAUAACUCUACCUUACUUUAAAUUAACACAUGCAGCCAACAAAACCUCAUUGCAUGUUAACUAAAUGAGUCACUUCCUGUCCCCAAAUGUACCUCUCCUUCCACCCCAGCACAACUGUCACAUUUCUCAUAGAUGCAGAUCCAAGCAAAACUUGUAAAAUGUUGCUGCUCCACGUUGUUAUUCUGGCUUUGGUUUUGUCUUACGGAUGUGCACAAAUACAUCUGAGACAAGCUCGGUUGUCCGUUACCAGGGCAGAAAAGAAAACUGCACGUAUAGUCUGUGAGGCUUCUGGCAUUCAGAACUUCAGGAGUGCUGUUAUACACUGGUAUCGACAGAGACCUGGUGAAGCUCCAGAGCGGAUUCUGUACAUCUCACCUGAAAAAGUUCAAAUUGACAAAGACUCCGAUAAGAAGUUUGAUGGUGAAAAUAACCCUGACCAGCCCAUCUCUACCCUAAGAGUAAAUGGAAUAAACCCUAACGACAGCGCUAUCUAUUAUUGUGCUUAUUGGGAUGGCACAGUGUUAGAAAGCCAUAGACAGCCUGUACAAAAACCUCACUCUGUAUUCUGAGCCAGACUUUCAAAAGAGUACAAAAAUUACAGCUGCCUCCUGGCUUCAGCUCAAAGGCAAGAUUAAGGAGUAGACACUUGUCAGGGCUCCUCCCCACUCUGAACUCUAGGGUACAUAUGUG